GACUCGUUAGUCUAGGGGUCAGGACGCUGGAUUUUGAUUCCGGAAACAUCAGUUCGAAUCUGGUACGAGUCU
RNAcentral lists this transfer RNA (72 nucleotides) under Epichloe festucae E2368. RNAcentral describes it as "tRNA-Gln (TTG) (tRNA-Gln-TTG-2-1)". It matches the Rfam family "tRNA". From Rfam's summary of the family: Transfer RNA (tRNA) molecules are approximately 80 nucleotides in length. Their secondary structure includes four short double-helical elements and three loops (D, anti-codon, and T loops). RNAcentral also lists the same sequence under 1 other name. The record is from RNAcentral. Lineage: Eukaryota; Fungi; Ascomycota; Sordariomycetes; Hypocreales; Clavicipitaceae.